AUAGAAACGAAGACAUAUAAUUAUCCCCAAAUCAAUAUUUCCGCCGGCACUUGGAACAUCUCCCCCGUAUUCAUUUCAGAAAGGGUAUGGAAGUUUCUCCAUUGCUAUCCAUGAAGGCAGAUACGAAUAUAAAACCAUAGAAGAAAUUUGAACUGAAGAGAAACUCAUGUUGAUUAAUAUCCGAUGUAGAACUUAGAGAAUGAAGAAACGAAACAUUGGGGGUUGAAAACGGGAAAAAUUUCGGUAAGAAAUUCUCUAAAUCCUUGUUAAUCUCAAUUUUUUUAACCGGACAUAUAUUAGUUGGAAGAUAAUUUUACCUGAUUAUUUUUGGCAAUGUUGUCUUUGAAGAUGUUAGUGAAAACCGAAGUGGUAGUAAGGAAUAACUUGAAAUACUUUAAGACUGGACACACAAUCAGAUACCUUUCAAUCUGCUUGAAAUUUUGAAUUUCAUACUGUGUGAGUAUUUGUUUGAAUCAGGUUCCUUCCAAAUUAGAUUGAUGUGGUAAUUGUACAGAUAUAAGAUUACGAUUUCACUUAAAAAUUUCAGAUUUUGGGUGUAUAAGAAUGCAAUGUAUGGAGGAAAAAUCUUGAAAUGGAUUAAUAACAAUUUGUCCUAUUAUGCUUUUUUAAAAUACAAAGUGAUAUUGAUGGAAAUGCCCCUGCACUGUUUGCAGGAACCAUUUCUGUUAUCUUAUUAUACCACAGGUUGAAACAGACACAUGCAUUUGAAUCACCACAUUGACUAUUUUGAAAAACAUUACACCAAACCUGAUAAUAUUAAUAGUUGACAUGAAAUAUGGAAAAAAUAUUGUGUUUUAGUAGAAUGUGAUUUCAAAUACAAUGCCCAUAUACAUAAUGGACAAUUAUGCCCCUGGCCAUAAACAAAUGUCGUUCCUAGUUUGAUUUCAGUUACAUCUGCCUCUGCCCUUAUUUGGUUAGAUGCAAGAGAAAGCAAUAUAUUUUACAGACUAAAAUCUGUUUACAACCAAAUAGAUUAGUUGAUAGUUCCAAGAAAUGAUGAUACUUGAGGAUGAGCAACACAAACAUAGAAAGAUAUUAGUUUAGUCUAAUUCAUUAAGCUAUGAGGAUAAAUCCACUUCUUCAGAAAUAGAGAAAAAGAAAUUUAAGAUAAAAGGACGAAAAUGACCUUUACCCAGAUUCUCUGUAUUGUACAUUUUCUUUUGGUUGUAAUACACAAAUUAUAAAAAAUAAAAUAAAAAAAUGAUGCUCCAAAUGGAAUGAACAACAUGACAUAAAUGAUUAUUUAUCAACUUUUAUACAAAUUACAAAUGCAACUGGAUAUUUAAUGCAUUUGUAACCAAAACAUUAGACAAAUCAAAAAAUGGCAGGAAGAGAAAUCACUAUAACAUUUAACAUCUUCCGUAUAUUAUGAGUCCUCCAUACGACAAUAUAAGUCAAAAUUGUUAUCUUUUAUUAUUUUUUGUUAGUGAUUCUUAAAAAUGUGAAUAAAUAAUAAGGAACUUCAAAAUUUUCAUUGAGCAAAAAAUCUGGUGUGCCUUAGAUUAAUCAUAAUCUGGUCUAAAUAUUCUUUUGGGAUGAUUACUACGGGCAAGAUAUGAGAAUUAGAUUUAUCAUUUACAUAAUUGUAAUCUACAUCAUCUAGAAUUUAUGAUGAUUUAGGCAUUUAGGGUUAUGCAUAUAUGACGAAUUCAAUGUGAAGGCAAAAUUGUCAUACUUUUUUUAAUAUGUUAAAAUUAGGCCAUUUCAACAGAGAUUUACUUAACCAACCUCGUUUAAUGCCUUUUCUUGUAGCUAUUUAACUGAAAAAAAAAUACAAAAUUAUAUAAAUUUGAUGAAAAGUAUAAAUAUGAUACAAAUUACCUUAUGUAGGUUUUUUUGGUGAAUGAAAACGCAGACAGAUGAACAGAAACACACAUAAAAGAGAUCGACCACAACACACGCUCAUACACAAUAAGUGUUAAAGUAAAGUGCUUUAAAUCGGAUGACUUUAAAUGUAAGGUGCUACAAAAUAGAGUUGUUCGUUUUAUUUUCAGAAAAAAAAAAAAAAAAACAAUUGAUUCUGAACAGGAACAUAAAUCCAUAAUCACACAUAACAAGCGAGACACAUAUAGCGUAUACAAAUACAUAUAGGAUAACAGGAGGAGAAGAACUGUAAGAGAAGAACAAUACUUAGUGUAACAGAAGAAGAAGUAUAAAGGAGAACGAUUUACCAGGGUUGCAGAGAAGAAGCGUACAGAGGAACCAAAAUUUGAAAGAUGCAACGGUCAGAAAGCUUUUUAGAUCUUGGAUUUAUAUAAAUGAUAAUAUAUGAAACAUUAUUUCAUUCCUAUUAUAAUGGAGAUAUAAUGGGUAAAAGAUAUAGAAUUUCAAAACGAUUGGUAUAUUAUGGUAACCGAGUUGCUAAUUAGUAGGAGUUGAUAAUUCUAUUGUUUAUGACUUUAAAUUAAAUUGAUUUUAUUGUGAUUGUAUUUU
RNAcentral lists this long non-coding RNA (2454 nucleotides) under Lactuca sativa (garden lettuce). RNAcentral describes it as "long non-coding RNA (LSAT_LNC007265)". Lineage: Eukaryota; Viridiplantae; Streptophyta; Magnoliopsida; Asterales; Asteraceae. The record is from RNAcentral.